Acanthosepion pharaonis is the source of this 112-nucleotide non-coding RNA. The record is from the annotation of a GenBank genome assembly. Lineage: Eukaryota; Metazoa; Mollusca; Cephalopoda; Sepiida; Sepiidae.
UAUGGCCACAUCGCAUUGGAACACUGGUUACCGUACGAUCACCGAUGUUAAGCAACGUUGAGCCUGGUCAGUAACUAGAUGGGUGACCGCUUGGGAAUACCAAGUGCUGUAA